RNAcentral lists this ribosomal RNA (440 nucleotides) under uncultured bacterium. RNAcentral describes it as "partial 16S ribosomal RNA". It matches the Rfam family "Bacterial small subunit ribosomal RNA", at positions 338 to 795 of the family's 1533-position model. The record is from RNAcentral.
CCUACGGGAGGCAGCAGUGGGGAAUAUUGCACAAUGGGGGAAACCCUGAUGCAGCGACGCCGCGUGAGUGAAGAAGUAAUUCGUUAUGUAAAGCUCUAUCAGCAGGGAAGAAAAUGACGGUACCUGAGUAAGAAGCCCCGGCUAACUCCGUGCCCGCAGCCGCGGUAAUACGUAGGGGGCAAGCGUUAUCCGGAUUUACUGGGUGUAAAGGGAGCGUAGACGGGAUUGCAAGUCUGGAGUGAAAGGCGGGGGCUCAACCCCCGGACUGCACUGGAAACUGUACGGCUGGAGUGCAGGAGAGGUAAGUGGAAUUCCUAGUGUAGCGGUGAAAUGCGGAGAUAUUAGGAGGAACACCAGUGGCGAAGGCGGCUUACUGGACUGUAACUGACGUUGAGGCUCGAAAGCGUGGGGAGCAAACAGGAUUAGAUACCCCUGUAGUC